AUUGAACGCUAGCGGGAUGCCUUACACAUGCAAGUCGAACGGAGUGGCGAACGGGUGAGUAAUGUAUCGGAAGGUGCCCAGUAGCGGGGGUUAACUACACGAAAGCGUAGCUAAUACCGCAUCCUUAUGGAGCGGCCGAUAUCGGAUUAGCUAGUUGGUGGGUUAACGGUUCACCUAGGCGACGAUCCGUAGCUGGUUUGAGCGGACUACCAGCCACACUGGGACUUGGCCACGGCCCAGAGUCCGACGGGAGGAAGCAGUGGUGAAUUGUGGACAAUGGGCGAAACCCUGAUCCAGCCAUCCCGCGUGUGCGAGUAAGGCCUUAGGGUUUUAAAGCACUGUUGGCAGGAAAGCGGUACCUGCAGAAUAAGCACCGGCUAACUACGUGCCAGCAGCCGCGGUAAUAC
RNAcentral lists this ribosomal RNA (407 nucleotides) under uncultured bacterium. RNAcentral describes it as "partial 16S ribosomal RNA". It matches the Rfam family "Bacterial small subunit ribosomal RNA", at positions 30 to 526 of the family's 1533-position model. The record is from RNAcentral.